Molecule: long non-coding RNA, 3665 nt
Organism: Camelus dromedarius (Arabian camel)
Lineage: Eukaryota; Metazoa; Chordata; Mammalia; Artiodactyla; Camelidae
Exons: 4
Source: RefSeq, a predicted model, not a curated record
CAGCUCAGCCAGGCUCGUAGAAGCGAUGGGAGCCGGUGGAAGCGGGCGGCGGAGCAGGGCCCUCGGGUGGGAGGAGGAGGCUGACGCGAGCCUGUGCGAAGUGGGCUGAAAUUCACGUCCCGUUUGGAGGAGUUUGGGGAUAAUGGUUUAUGACAUUGAGGACUUCGGAAUCCUGAAUCCGUGAAAGUCUGAGCUGGGCUGUCACAAGUUCAACAGGACCCCUCAUCAUCCAAUUCAUGGGACUGCUGUUGCUGCUCCUGAUAUAAGUUCUCUUUCUGAGGCCCUGACACCUUUAAUCACAAGACCUAGACUCUGCAGUUCCAUGUGUCUGUGUGCUUUCAGGAGACAGUAGGGGUUUAAGCAACACAGAGUUCCGGAGGCAGCAUCGGCAGGGGUGCCAGACUUCCGGAGACAAAGAAGAUUUUUACAAAUGCAGUGAGUCUCUUAAGAGUGAAGAGGAGGAAAAUCCAGGUUAAAAAGGAAAGAAAGGAAGAAGGAAGGAAGGAAAAUGGGAAGAAGGAAGGAAGAGAGGGAAGAAAGGAAAGGAAAUGCUUAUAAAGGAAGAAAGAAAAUGCUCCCCAGGAAAUUUUUACUACGCACCAAUUUUGGGAGUCUCUCAUCCAGUGGUUUUUCAGUGUUUCCUCAACCAGGAACUUCAGCGUCACCUGGAAACUUGUUGGAAAUGCAGCAUCUCCAGCCCCGCCGUAGGCCCGCUGAAUGGGAAAUCCUGAGGAUGAGGCCCAGCACUGUGUUUUAACAAGCCCUCCAGGGGAUUCUGACAGUCACUAAAGUUUGUGUCCUGCUGUCCUGGCCGAAAGCACGUUUGUUUUUCAGUAAAGGCGCAUCCAAAUAUGACAGGCCCCAAAGAGAAGUGUCAUCUCUCUGGAAGUUUUGUUGCUCUUUCUCUGGUUCUCACAACACCGGGAAGAGUGGGCAAAACUAAAUUAAUAAAAAGUGGCAUUUGUACUCUGGUUAUUGCAUACAUACCUCAUCAGUUUCCUAACUUACAGUAAAAUACCUUUGAGUUUUAGACCAAUCUGUUUAAAGAGCUGAAGGGCUGCCUGGUGUCAGAGGUGGAAUGGUUCAUUCUGAACAAGAAAUUCAAUCACGAGGCCGAGGAAUAGAGCCACCCAAACCAGCUGGCACUUUAUGCCAGAGGAGAGAAGAGCCAGUAGAAGAACUUGGGAAGGCAUGAGAGCAGGUGAGCAGCAACCUUUGUGAAGAAGCAGCGUCUUGGUGUGAUAGGCCUGAUGGGACGUUGACGAGUGUUACGGACCCAGCCCUACUCUUUACGUCUGAAGGAGCAAAAACAGCGUGUUCUAGUGAUCUCAGAGUAGAGAAAAAAGACUUUUCUUAAAAGGAAGCUCUUUAAUCAAGAUAUAAUUCCGAAGCCUAAUUAGCAGAAACCAGACUCAGUCUCUCUUUGGGACCUCAGACCAAAAACUGUAUCAAAUGAAUGACAAUAUACAAGGAGAGAUCCUCUCUCUUUCUCUUGCCUAACUCCAGGCUGCUUCUUGGUGUCCUGUUUCUAAAGCCUAUUUCCUAUUUCUUAGGGUAAAGGAUAAGCCCUGUUAUUAAUUUUGUUAUUAACACUAAAAGGCUUAUAAAUCACCUGCCUCUGAUAGGAAAUCAACAUCGAAAUAAUUUCUGGUGAAGUAUAUGUCUGGAUAUUUUGCCAUGCCUGACACAAAGUUAUGAUGACGGAGUUUGAAGUGAAAAUUUCUUUUGAAGUCAUUGAAUUGGUGUUCCUCAUUCCCACUUAACUUUAUAAAGCAACAUACACAUUUGUAAAUUUUAUUUUUUCAUAAAGAAAAAAAUGAAAAUGCCGUUGGCUUUAAUUCUACAUGUUAAUUAAACUUGAUUUCUGAAGCAAUAGAUGUCAAUUUACAGGGUAAUUUUCUUAAAAAAUAAAAAGCAAACAAUUAUUUGUUGAAAUUAUGCUAUCCUUCAAAAGGUAAGGGCUAAGUUAAAUUCAGUUUAACAAAGGAACACCUAAUUAAUUGCCUGUAACUCCAUAUAAGCAAUAACAUUAAUGAUGUAAUAAUGAGAUUUUUCCCCAGCAGAGAUAGGAAGGUAAGAUGUAGGUAUUGAACAGAAAAAUAAAUGCAUGUUAUUGAGCCUAGUAUUUCUAUUUGCUUCCAGUAGGUACAAACAGUAUACUCUGAAAAGCCUUAUGUUUAAUUCAAAGAAAGUACUGUUUCUCCAAAUAUUCAAAUGUGAUGAAAAGUGAAACUGUUAACACUAUUUCUACCUUUAAAAAUGCUGUAUUUACAAAAAGCUAUGUAUGUUUGUAUAAUAUUUUGAAUGUCCAUGCACUAUAUGGAGCAUGGAUUACAUUGGCAAAAAUGCUACAUUAUGUGUAUUUUGGGAACAAGAUAGAGUAGAAAUAUUAAAAUUAAUAAGAAUGAGAAUAUUAAUAUGAACAUGUUUUACACAUCUCUAUAAAUUUUCAUUUUAUAUACAUGAAUGAUUAAAUACACAUUAUGCAUUUAUAAAUGGUAAUAUAAAUAGAAAAAUAACCACGGGCAGAAGGGGGAAUGCAUUAAAAAAAGGCUUCACAAAAAACCGACGACAGUAUAUGUACUUAUUUACAUAAAAUUAUAAAUGUGUGGGUAGAAAAAUUAGACGUAAAAAUUCCAACAGUAGCUAUUGACUUAUAGAAAGUCCAUGACAAAUUGUCAAUGAAAAAUAUUAGAGUUUAAAGUCUAUGAAUUAUAUUCUAUAAUGGAUAAAAGCAAACAGUGAAACAAGAAAGAGAAACCAGAGGCAUUUGUGUAUAGAUGAUUAUAUUUGCCUGUUUAACUAGGAGACGAUAUGAAAGGAUGCAGACUGGCCCGUUAACAGUGGAUACCCCAGAAGACAAGGAAGCCGGGCGAGGUGUUAGCAUUUCCUUUACACAUCUGUGUAUUAUUCCACUUAUGUAAACAUGCACUAGCAAUUUUUUCACAUUUAAAUCUUUUGUUGAAAUAAAACAGAAAACUGCACAUAUCCUGAGUGUUCAGCUCAAUAAGUUAUCACAACCCUGAAACCACCGCACAGAUAAAGAAAAAACAAGCACUAGCAUCUCCGAAGGCUCCCUCAAGCCCCUCCUCAAGUCACUACUUCCAGGACCUCUUUUGACCUCUAGCUCCAUAGACUAGUUUCAUCCAUUUUUCAACUUUUUGUAAGUGAAACUAUAUAUUUUCUGUAUCUGGAUGCAAUCAUUUAACCUUAGAUUUGUAAGAUUCAUCCAUGUUGUUUUAUGGAACAGUGCAUCCCUUUUCUUUCAGUUUUGAAUAGACCGUAAUUUACUUAUACACCGUUGAUGGGCACUUAAAUUUUUCACAAUCUUGCGAUAGUACAAAUAAUAUGAAUACUGCCACAGAACUUCCUGUCCAUGUUUUUGCUGGUCACACACGCUAUUCCUUUAGGUAUACAUCAGGGUUCUGUUUGCAGUGAGCGACCUUGAGGGAUGAGGCAAUGUUCUGGGCUAAGAGUAGGCUCAUUGCUAUAAAACAGCAGGUUCCCCGAGUUCGGUAUUUCUUCCUUAUUACAGCCCACUGCACGUGCAGGGGCCAUCUGGGCCCUCUGUCUUGCGCUCCUGGGACUUCGGGGAAAAAGGGACAAAUACAAAUGAUUUUCACACUGUUUCCUGUGCCAUGAGUAAUAAAAUCCUUUGUCUCUGA